RNAcentral lists this ribosomal RNA (472 nucleotides) under uncultured bacterium. Its description in RNAcentral is "bacterial SSU rRNA". It matches the Rfam family "Bacterial small subunit ribosomal RNA", at positions 355 to 825 of the family's 1533-position model. The record is from RNAcentral.
UGGGGAAUUUUGGACAAUGGGCGCAAGCCUGAUCCAGCCAUACCGCGUGAGUGAAGAAGGCCUUCGGGUUGUAAAGCUCUUUCAGACGGAAAGAAACGGUUACGGCUAAUACCCGUGACUAAUGACGGUACCGUAAGAAGAAGCACCGGCUAACUACGUGCCAGCAGCCGCGGUAAUACGUAGGGUGCGAGCGUUAAUCGGAAUUACUGGGCGUAAAGCGUGCGCAGGCGGUUUGGUAAGACAGAUGUGAAAUCCCCGGGCUUAACCUGGGAACUGCAUUUGUGACUGCCAGACUAGAGUGUAGCAGAGGGGGGUAGAAUUCCACAUGUAGCAGUGAAAUGCGUAGAUAUGUGGAGGAAUACCGAUGGCGAAGGCAGCCCCCUGGGCUAACACUGACGCUCAUGCACGAAAGCGUGGGGAGCAAACAGGAUUAGAUACCCAGGUAGUCCCUGAGCGGGCUGGCAAGGCGCAU